CCCCUCUCAAGGUCACACCUGAAGAGUUUCCAAUACUCUAUCAGUCUUGACUAUGGGAGGGAGAGUCAAGCAGAGGCAUAUCCAUUCCAUUCCUAGCUUGGGAUUGGCUAGCAAGUGGAAGGGAAUCUGCUACAAGU
This 137-nucleotide small nucleolar RNA is filed under the name Ornithorhynchus anatinus (platypus). Lineage: Eukaryota; Metazoa; Chordata; Mammalia; Monotremata; Ornithorhynchidae. The record is from RNAcentral.